Molecule: ribosomal RNA, 362 nt
Filed under: uncultured bacterium
Lineage: Bacteria
Description: partial 16S ribosomal RNA
Rfam family: Bacterial small subunit ribosomal RNA
Source: RNAcentral
CCUACAGGCGGCCGCAGUGAGGAAUCUUGGUCAAUGGGCGCGAGCCUGAACCAGCCAAGUAGCGUGAAGGAUGACUGCCCUACGGGUUGUAACCUUCUUUUAUAAAGGAAUAAAGUGAGGCACGUGUGCCUUUUUGUAUGUACUUUAUGAAUAAGGAUCGGCUAACUCCGUGCCAGCAGCCGCGGUAAUACGGUGUAUCCGGUCGUUAUCCGGUUAUAUUUGGUUUAAAGGGAGCGUAGAUGGGUUGUUAAGUCAUUUGUGAAAGUUUGCGGCUCAACCGUAAACUUGCAAUUGAAACCGGCAGCCUUGAGUACAGUUGAGGUAGGCGGAAUUCGUGGUGUAGCGGUGAAAUGCUUAGAUAU